RNAcentral lists this non-coding RNA (22 nucleotides) under Arabidopsis thaliana (thale cress). The record is from RNAcentral. Lineage: Eukaryota; Viridiplantae; Streptophyta; Magnoliopsida; Brassicales; Brassicaceae.
CACUAUCCUUCUCUGUUGUCCA